CCUACGGGAGGCAGCAGUGAGGAAUAUUGGUCAAUGGGCGUACGCCUGAACCAGCCAAGUCGCGUGAGGGAAGACUGCCCUAUGGGUUGUAAACCUCUUUUGUCAGGGAGCAACGCCGGCUACGUGUAGCCGGACUGAGAGUACCUGAAGAAAAAGCAUCGGCUAACUACGUGCCAGCAGCCGCGGUAAUACGUAGGGGGCAAGCGUUAUCCGGAUUUACUGGGUGUACAGGGAGCGUAGACGGUGCGCCAAGUCUGGCGUGAAAUGCCGCGGCUUAACUGCGGAACUGCAUUGGAAACUGGCGAACGAGAGGUCAGGAGAGGUAGGCGGAAUUCUUGGUGUAGCGGUGAAAUGCGUAGAUAUAAGGAGGAACACCGGUGGCGAAGGCGGCUUGCUGGACCGUAACUGACGUUGAGGCUCGAAAGCGUGGGGAGCAAACAGGAUUAGAUACCCGAGUAGUC
Molecule: ribosomal RNA, 461 nt
Filed under: uncultured bacterium
Lineage: Bacteria
Description: partial 16S ribosomal RNA
Rfam family: Bacterial small subunit ribosomal RNA
Source: RNAcentral